UGCGCAAUGGGGGAAACCCUGACGCAGCAACGCCGCGUGAAUGAUUAAGCCCUUCGGGGUGUAAAGUUCUGUCAGCAGGGACGAAUAAUGACGGUACCUGCAGAGGAAGCACCGGCUAACUCCGUGCCAGCAGCCGCGGUAAUACGGAGGGUGCAAGCGUUGUCCGGAAUCAUUGGGCGUAAAGAGUUCGUAGGUGGCCUGUAAAGUCUGGUGUUAAAUGCAGAAGCUCAACUUCUGUUCGGCACUGGAUACUUGCAAGCUGGAAUGCGGUAGAGGUAAAGGGAAUUCCUGGUGUAGCGGUGAAAUGCGUAGAUAUCAGGAGGAACAUCGGUGGCGUAAGCGCUUUACUGGGCCGUAAUUGACACUGAGGAACGAAAGCCGGGGUAGCAAAUGGGAUUAGAUACCCCAGUAGUCCCGGCCGUAAACGAUGGAUACUAGGUGUUGCGGGUAUCGACCCCUGCAGUGCCGCAGCUAACGCGAUAAGUAUCCCGCCUGGGGAGUACGCACGCAAGUGUGAAACUCAAAGGAAUUGACGGGGACCCGCACAAGCGGUGGAACAUGUGGUUUAAUUCGAAGCAACGCGAAGAACCUUACCAGGGCUUGACAUCUGAGGAACUUUUGUGAAAGCAGAAGGUGCUCUUCGGAGAGCCUCAAGACAGGUGGUGCACGGUUGUCGUCAGCUCGUGUCGUGAGAUGUUGGGUUAAGUCCCGCAACGAGCGCAACCCUCGUCGUUAGUUGGAUGUAUCGGUAUACUGGUGCAUUCCUCUCUAGCGAGACUGCCGGUGAUAAACUGGAGGAAGGUGGGGACGACGUCAAAUCAUCAUGCCCCUUAUGCUCUGGGCUACACACGUGUUACAAUGGCCGGUACAACGAGCCGCCAACUCGCGAGAGUGAGCAAAUCUCUAAAAACCGGUCUCAGUUCGGAUUGCACUCUGCAACUCGAGUGCAUGAAGUCGGAAUCGCUAGUAAACGCAGAUCAGCACGCUGCGUUGAAUACGUUCCCGGGUCUUGUACACACCGCCCGUCACACCAUGGAAGUCGACCACGCCCGAAGUACGUGAGCUAACCGUAAGGAAGCAGCGUCCUAAGGCAGGGUUGGUGACUGGGGUGAAGUCGUAACAAGGUAGCCGUACCGGAAGGUGUGGCUG
Molecule: ribosomal RNA, 1149 nt
Filed under: human gut metagenome
Description: bacterial SSU rRNA
Rfam family: Bacterial small subunit ribosomal RNA
Source: RNAcentral